RNAcentral lists this ribosomal RNA (329 nucleotides) under uncultured eukaryote. RNAcentral's name for it is "bacterial SSU rRNA". It matches the Rfam family "Eukaryotic small subunit ribosomal RNA", at positions 245 to 575 of the family's 1831-position model. The record is from RNAcentral.
GAUGAUUCACGAUAACUAAACGAAUCGCAGGCUUAACGUCGGCGAUGAUACGAACGAGUUUCUGACCUAUCAACUUUAGAUGGCAGAGUAGGGGUUUGCCAUGGUGACAACGGGUGACGGGGAAUUAGGGUUCGAUUCCGGAGAGGGAGCCUUAGAAACGGCUACCACUUCCAAGGAAGGCAGCAGGCGCGCAAAUUACCCAAUACCGAUUCGGUGAGGUAGUGACAAGAAAUACCGAUGUAGGACCCAACGGGUACUACGUUUGGAAUGAGUACAAUUUAAAAACCUUAACGAGGAACAAUUGGAGGGCAAGUCUGGUGCCAGCAGCC